UACGUAGGGUGCAAGCGUUGUCCGGAAUUAUUGGGCGUAAAGAGCUCGUAGGCGGCUUGUCGCGUCGUUCGUGAAAACCCGGGGCUCAACUCCGGGCUUGCGGGCGAUACGGGCAGGCUAGAGUUCGGUAGGGGAGACUGGAAUUCCUGGUGUAGCGGUGGAAUGCGCAGAUAUCAGGAGGAACACCGAUGGCGAAGGCAGAUCUCUGGGCCGUAACUGACGCUGAGGAGCGAAAGCGUGGGGAGCAAACAGG
RNAcentral lists this ribosomal RNA (253 nucleotides) under uncultured bacterium. Its description in RNAcentral is "partial 16S ribosomal RNA". It matches the Rfam family "Bacterial small subunit ribosomal RNA", at positions 524 to 776 of the family's 1533-position model. The record is from RNAcentral.